GGGGAAUAUUGCACAAUGGGCGAAAGCCUGAUGCAGCGACGCCACGUGAGCGAAGAAGUAUUUCGGUAUGUAAAGCUCUAUCAGCAGGGAAGAUAAUGACGGUACCUGACUAAGAAGCACCGGCUAAAUACGUGCCAGCAGCCGCGGUAAUACGUAUGGUGCAAGCGUUAUCCGGAUUUACUGGGUGUAAAGGGAGCGCAGGCGGGAAGACAAGUUGGAAGUGAAAUCUAUGGGCUCAACCCAUAAACUGCUUUCAAAACUGUUUUUCUUGAGUAGUGCAGAGGUAGGCGGAAUUCCCGGUGUAGCGGUGGAAUGCGUAGAUAUCGGGAGGAACACCAGUGGCGAAGGCGGCCUACUGGGCACCAACUGACGCUGAGGCUCGAAAGUGUGGGUAGCAAACAGGAUUAGAUACCCUGGUAGUCCACACCGUAAACGAUGAUUACUAGGUGUUGGAGGAUUGACCCCUUCAGUGCCGCAGUUAACACAAUAAGUAAUCCACCUGGGGAGUACGACCGCAAGGUUGAAACUCAAAGGAAUUGACGGGGGCCCGCACAAGCAGUGGAGUAUGUGGUUUAAUUCGACGCAACGCGAAGAACCUUACCAAGUCUUGACAUCCCUUGACGAACAUAGAAAUAUGUUUUCUCUUCGGAGCAAGGAGACAGGUGGUGCAUGGUUGUCGUCAGCUCGUGUCGUGAGAUGUUGGGUUAAGUCCCGCAACAAGCGCAACCCUUACUGUCAGUUACUACGCAAGAGGACUCUGGCAGGACUGCCGUUGACAAAACGGAGGAAGGUGGGGAUGACGUCAAAUCAUCAUGCCCUUUAUGACUUGGGCUACACACGUACUACAAUGGCUGUAAACAGAGGGAAGCAAAGCCGCGAGGUGGAGCAAAACCCUAAAAGCAGUCCCAGUUCGGAUCGCAGGCUGCAACCCGCCUGCGUGAAGUCGGAAUUGCUAGUAAUCGCGGAUCAGCAUGCCGCGGUGAAUACGUUCCCG
Molecule: ribosomal RNA, 994 nt
Filed under: uncultured bacterium
Lineage: Bacteria
Description: bacterial SSU rRNA
Rfam family: Bacterial small subunit ribosomal RNA
Source: RNAcentral